Molecule: ribosomal RNA, 363 nt
Filed under: Leptestheria dahalacensis
Lineage: Eukaryota; Metazoa; Arthropoda; Branchiopoda; Diplostraca; Leptestheriidae
Description: partial large subunit ribosomal RNA
Rfam family: Bacterial large subunit ribosomal RNA
Source: RNAcentral
CUCUUAUACAAAGUUUGAAUUUCAUUUUUAAGUGAAAAAGCUUAAAUAAACCUGAAGGACGAUAAGACCCUAUAGAGCUUUACUUCAUUAAAAUACAAACAACCUAGAAAUUAAUAUUAUUAUUUGAUAGAAGUUACGUUGGGGCGACGACAAGACAAUAAAUAACUCUUUAUUUUUUAAACAACUAAAAUUGAAAAAUUGAUCCUUAAAGCGAGAUCAAAUGAACAAGUUACCUUAGGGAUAACAGCGUAAUCCUUUUUAAGAGUUCUCAUCAACAAAAGGGUUUGCGACCUCGAUGUUGGAUUAAGAGUUCACCAAGGUGCAGCAGCUUUGGAAGACGGUCUGUUCGACCAUUAAUCUCUU